RNAcentral lists this non-coding RNA (716 nucleotides) under Caldalkalibacillus thermarum TA2.A1. RNAcentral describes it as "Bacterial large subunit ribosomal RNA". It matches the Rfam family "Bacterial large subunit ribosomal RNA", at positions 1 to 701 of the family's 2925-position model. The record is from Rfam by way of RNAcentral. Lineage: Bacteria; Bacillati; Bacillota; Bacilli; Caryophanales; Bacillaceae.
GGUUAAGCUACUAAGGGCGCACGGUGGAUGCCUAGGCGCUGGGAGCCGAUGAAGGGCGCGGCAAACGGCGAAACGCCUCGGGGAGCCGUAAGCAGGCGUUGAUCCGGGGAUUCCCGAAUGGGGCAACCCCCUGUCCCUAAUCGGACAGGAUCCAUCUUCCGAAUCCAUAGGAGAUGGAGGGCACACCAGGGGAACUGAAACAUCUUAGUACCCUGAGGAGAAGAAAGCAACCGCGAUUCCCUGAGUAGCGGCGAGCGAAAGGGGAACAGCCCAAACCGGUGGGCUUGCCCGCCGGGGUUGUAGGACGUCCCAUACGGAGUGACAAAGGACGAGGAUAGGCGAACACGUCUGGAAAGGCGGGCCAUAGAGUGUGACAGCCACGUAGCCGAAAUCUUCGUCCCUCCGGGACGGAUCCUGAGUACGGCGGGACACGUGAAAUCCCGUCGGAAUCCGGGAGGACCAUCUCCCAAGGCUAAAUACUCCCCAGCGACCGAUAGUGAACCAGUACCGUGAGGGAAAGGUGAAAAGCACCCCGGGAGGGGAGUGAAAGAGAACCUGAAACCGUGUGCCUACAACCAGUCGGAGCACGAUGCCCGUCAGGGCUGUGUGACGGCGUGCCUUUUGUAGAAUGAACCGGCGAGUUACGGUCUCGUGCGAGGUUAAGCCGAAGAGGCGGAGCCGCAGCGAAAGCGAGUCUGAACAGGGCGCAAAGGGUU